Peromyscus californicus insignis is the source of this 79-nucleotide small nucleolar RNA. RefSeq annotates it as small nucleolar RNA SNORD115. The transcript has a single exon. The record is from RefSeq and is a predicted model, not a curated record. NCBI's taxonomy places the organism in Eukaryota, Metazoa, Chordata, Mammalia, Rodentia, Cricetidae.
GGGUCUAUGAUGACAAACCUAUGUCACGAAGAGAGAUGAUGACAUAAAAAUCAUGCUCAAUAGGAUUACGCUGAGGCCC